CCUCCCCUGCCAGUGCUGACGGGGAGCUUGGUUGAGUUACAUUCCGAAACACAGCGACAGCUGGGUACUCGUUAGCACUUAAGUUUCCACUGGUCUCUGUACAAGGAAGAUGGAUUUCUUCUUGCAGGAAGAUGGGCCAUGAUUCUGCUCUGCAUUGAACCCUGAGAUCCAACUUCCAAAGUGCAAGGGACAAAAAGCCUCGUGCAAGAAUUCUGGAACCCUGGUAGAGAAGAUAGCUGGCAAUCUCAGCAUUUUUGCCAUUGUUGAAAAUACUCUCCUUCUUCCUUGGUAUCUAUAUCAAGAAAAGUGACCUUGUAUUGGCAACCUGGAUCCCCCAACCCGGAAAACUUCAAGGAACCAGAAAGCAUUUGACAGUCUGGCUCUGGUGGUGAGAGAAUGGAAGAAAUGGAAGUGGCGUUUCCAAGGGAAAGAAACCGGUGAAGAGAUUGAGGCCUCAUAUCUGGUUCGUUUGGAGCAGACCCUCAGUAUUGUGGGAUCUUAGAGCAUAAAGGCAAAGAAAAUCAUAAAAAAAGUUCCCACCAGAUUUUGAAGAACCUCAAUUUCAUCAUCUGCAAGAUGGUAAUCAUACCAAUCCUAUCAUUCAUCACCUGACUGCUGUGAGAAUUGAAUGGGAAAGCAGAGCAAUGCUCAAGGAAUGUUUACAGCUGAGGAGGCACUGAGGGGAUUGCCUGAAGGACAUGAAGUCCAUCCAUCUCUCCAGAUAGUUUGGAUUAUUUCUCAAGAUCAAGAGGCAGAAGGUGAGACUCAAAGGUGACACCCAUGGCAAUCCUGGAUUCUGUAGGACAGAAGCCGGAUUCUGUCCUACCAUGCUGGCCUCUUCCUAGAAAACUUCAAGUAUAGAAAAGUGACUGAAAUAAGACAACAGCAGAUUGUGCUUUUGUGUACCGAACUUGAAGUAAGAAUCUGGUGGGUGAC
Cervus elaphus (red deer) is the source of this 936-nucleotide long non-coding RNA. RefSeq lists it as uncharacterized. Lineage: Eukaryota; Metazoa; Chordata; Mammalia; Artiodactyla; Cervidae. The record is from RefSeq and is a predicted model, not a curated record. The transcript has 10 exons.